This 1256-nucleotide long non-coding RNA is filed under the name Salmo salar (Atlantic salmon). RNAcentral describes it as "lncRNA (ENSSSAG00000119463.1)". Lineage: Eukaryota; Metazoa; Chordata; Actinopteri; Salmoniformes; Salmonidae. The record is from RNAcentral.
CCUUACAGGAAGUGCCCUCUCUGACCAUUCCUUGAGCUUCUUGUCUCUGUUUAUUGAAGACUGAGGAUCUUUGCUGUAACGUGACACUUCCUACGGCUCCCAUAGGCUCUCAGAAGGCGGGAAAAAUCUGAAUGAUGUAAUUCCAGCCCCAUGCUGAAAAACAUUUGCGCUUUUGGCAAGUGCUCUAUCAGAGGACAAUGGGCUGAGGCGCGUGCACGAGGGGUUCCAAUGCUUUUAUUUUCUUUCGUCUUUGAACAUAAACACAGAUUCCCGGUCGGAAUAUUAUCGCUUUUUUAUGAGAAAAAUGGCAUAAAAAUUGAUUUUAAACAGCGGUUGACAUGCUUCGAAGUACGGUAAUGGAAUAUUUCGAAUUUUUUUGUCACGAAAUGCGUCGUGCUCGUCACCCUUCUUUACCAUUCGGAUAGUGUCUUGAACGCACGAACAAAACAGAGGAUAUUUGAACAUAACUAUGGAUUAUUUUGAACCAAACCAACAUUUGUUAUUGAAGUAGAAGUCCUGGGAGUGCAUUCUGAUGAAGAACAGAAAAGAGGACCUGAGCCCUAGGACCAUGCCUCAGGACUACCUGGCAUGAUGACUCCUUGCUGUCCCCAGUCCACCUGGUCGUGCUGCUGCUUUCAACUGUUCUGUCUGCGGCUAUGGACGUGCUACCUUGUCCCAGACCUGCUUUUUUCAACUCUCUAGAGACAGCAAGAGCGGUAGAGAUAGUCUGAAUGAUCGGCUAUGAAAAGCCAACUGACAUUUACUCCUGAGCAAGACUAUUCAAGCGAUCAACUCACUAAUGGAUGAAGAUGCGCUCGGCAAAGGCCAUGAAAAUUGCUACAGAAAAAACCAUUACAGAACCACCCACCAAAAGAAGACCAUGCAGCAUGGAUUGGAGCAUCGGGGAAAAGGACGGACAUGGGAGUCGGAACGUCGAUUCUGGGAGGACAAGCUAAGGGAGCUACGGGAACCUGAGAGGCAGCCUCUGAAUUAUUUUUGGGGGGGCACACGGGGAGUUGGGGUAAGUCAGGCAAUAGACCUGAGCCAACUCCUCGUGCUUAUUAUGGGGAGCGUUUGGCGUGGAAAGCACCGUGCUAUGCGGAAGUGCGCACGGUCUCGCCCAUCCGCAUGCACAGUCCGGUGCGGUCGAUACCAGCCCCCCGCAAGUGCAGUGCUAGAGUGGGCAUCGAGCCAGGAAGGAGUAUGCCUGUUCAGCACAUCUGGCCACCAGUGUGUCUCCUACGCCCAGGCUACCC